This 462-nucleotide ribosomal RNA is filed under the name uncultured bacterium. RNAcentral describes it as "partial 16S ribosomal RNA". It matches the Rfam family "Bacterial small subunit ribosomal RNA", at positions 28 to 507 of the family's 1533-position model. The record is from RNAcentral.
GACGAACGCUGGCGGCGUGCUUAACACAUGCAAGUCGAACGGAAAGGCCCUUCGGGGUACUCGAGUGGCGAACGGGUGAGUAACACGUGGGUGAUCUGCCCUGCACUUUGGGAUAAGCCUGGGAAACUGGGUCUAAUACCGAAUAGGACCACGCGCUUCAUGGUGUGUGGUGGCAAGCUUUUGCGGUGUGGGAUGGGCCCGCGGCCUAUCAGCUUGUUGGUGGGGUAAUGGCCUACCAAGGCGACGACGGGUAGCCGGCCUGAGAGGGUGACCGACCACACUGGGACUGAGAUACGGCCCAGACUCCUACGGGAGGCAGCAGUGGGGAAUAUUGCACAAUGGGCGCAAGCCUGAUGCAGCGACGCCGCGUGAGGGAUGACGGCCUUCGGGUUGUAAACCUCUUUCAAUAGGGACGAAGCGAAAGUGACGGUACCUAUAGAAGAAGCACCGGCCAACUACGUG